This 441-nucleotide ribosomal RNA is filed under the name uncultured bacterium. Its description in RNAcentral is "partial 16S ribosomal RNA". It matches the Rfam family "Bacterial small subunit ribosomal RNA", at positions 338 to 795 of the family's 1533-position model. The record is from RNAcentral.
CCUACGGGAGGCAGCAGUGGGGGAUAUUGCACAAUGGGGGGAACCCUGAUGCAGCGACGCCGCGUGGGUGAAGGAGCGUUUCGGCGCGUAAAGCCCUAUCGGCAGGGAAGAAGGAGGACGGUACCUGACUAAGAAGCCCCGGCUUACUACGUGCCAGCAGCCGCGGUAAUACGUAGGGGGCAAGCGUUAUCCGGAUUUACUGGGUGUAAAGGGGGCGCAGACGGCAGUGCAAGCCAGGAGUGAAAGCCCGGGGCCCAACCCCGGGACUGCUCUUGGAACUGCGCGGCUGGAGUGCAGGAGGGGCAGGCGGAAUUCCUGGUGUAGCGGUGAAAUGCGUAGAUAUCAGGAAGAACACCGGUGGCGAAGGCGGCCUGCUGGACUGCGACUGACGUUGAGGCCCGAAAGUGUGGGGAGCGAACAGGAUUAGAUACCCGUGUAGUC